GGUGCUAGUGACCCAACAAUAACCCCGCAUAUGUCCAUAAUAGGGAGUGCCUCACUAAACGGCUGCCACUUAUACUUCUACGACUGUACCAAAGGAGUUCUGAAACUUUUCGCUUGCUAGAUGGUAAAUGACUAGCCACUUCUCCACUCACUGUGAUUCGUAAUCUAAACAAACUCUAGGAUGUGCAAGUCAUUAUCCCAUAACAACUUGAACGCACCUCUACGGCCCUCGAGGGGGAAAUAUGGUGCGUCUUCUAGGGCGAUAGGUAUUCACCCUCAUCUAUAAAAUCCAAACUCCUUGAAACUC
This 306-nucleotide long non-coding RNA is filed under the name Elaeis guineensis (African oil palm). Its description in RNAcentral is "long non-coding RNA (EGUI_LNC004851)". Lineage: Eukaryota; Viridiplantae; Streptophyta; Magnoliopsida; Arecales; Arecaceae. The record is from RNAcentral.